GAGAUUUCCGAAUGGGGAAACCCAUCCCGAUUUAUUGGGAUACCAUGUGCCCAAAUUUAUUAAGUACAUGGAGGUAAGUCGGCGAACUGAAAUAUCUAAGUAGCCGGAGAAAAAAAAUCAAUAGAGAGUCCCUUAGUAGUGACGAGCGAACAGGGACUAGCCCAAACUUCCGCCUUUGGCGGGAGGGUUGUAGGACUCUAAUAUCUGAAUAAAAUAUAUAGGAGAAUAGUUUGGAAAAACUAGCCAUAGAGAGUGAUAGCCUCGUAUUUGAAAUAUAUUUUAUUUGGUAAGAGUAUCCUGAGUAGGUUCGGACACGUGAAAUCCGGAUUGAAUCUGGGAGGACCACCUUCCAAGGCUAAAUAUCAUUUGAGAUCGAUAGUGAACUAGUACCGUGAGGGAAAGGUUAAAAGAACCCCGGGAAGGGGAGUGAAAUAGACAUGAAAUUGUAUACUUAUAAGGAGUGGGAGUCCGGGCUUGCCUGGGUGACCGCGUGCCUUUUGUAGAAUGAGCCAACGAGUUAGUCGUAUAGGGUGGGUUAAGGCAGUUUAAGCCGGAGCCACAGCGAAAGCGAGUCCGAAUAGGGCGGCAAUCUUAUGCGCUAGACCCGAAACUGUGUGAGCUAACCAUGGGCAGGUUGAAUGCCGAUUAAUCUCGGCAGGAGGACCGAACCACCGAGUGCAGCAAAACUCUUGGAUGACCUGUGGUUAGAGUUGAAAUUACCAUCGAACACAGAGAUAGCUGGUUCUCUCCGAAAUCU
Molecule: ribosomal RNA, 757 nt
Filed under: Ctenophora environmental sample
Lineage: Eukaryota; Metazoa; Ctenophora
Description: partial Bacterial large subunit ribosomal RNA
Rfam family: Bacterial large subunit ribosomal RNA
Source: RNAcentral